This is a long non-coding RNA of Amphiprion ocellaris (clown anemonefish), 3049 nucleotides long. RefSeq lists it as uncharacterized. The record is from RefSeq and is a predicted model, not a curated record. The transcript is spliced from 4 exons. NCBI's taxonomy places the organism in Eukaryota, Metazoa, Chordata, Actinopteri, Pomacentridae.
AUCCGGGGGACUCAGGCGUAAACAAUCGAUCCUGGCCAAAAUCGAACCAACGCCCAGCCAAUCACGUGGCGCUCCUCCGGUCAUGUGACGCAGACGGUUCACCUCACAAGACCGGGAUCAACCACGGCUACCAGCAUGAACGACGGCGCUUCAGACGGGAUCUGCAGAGACUUUGAUUCAUCUGCUGUCUGGACAUGGAGUGAUGUGGGUCUCCUUCCUCUAAUCAGACAGUGGGAUGCUGCAGGUCACUAGACUGACCCCCUGUGCUUUGGAAGGGGAGGAGCUCACAGCGCCACCUGCUGCUCGUUGAGGACAAUGCACAAUGAGGGACGUCUGCAGAGACUGAGAAAGAGUCUCACCACAUCCUGACAUGAGGAAAAAGACUUUAUUGAAGACUGCAAUGAGAAAAACUAUCAGACAUCAGACGGCUGCAUUCAAGGUGAGCUCUGAACAUUUGAUCUGGAACAGGAAUUCAAUAACGGCAGCAUGAGCUUCAUUUCAGUCUGUAGCUGCUGAAUUCAUGGAUGAAUCAUCUGGCACUAGAGAGGAAGACCAUCAAACAUCCACGUCAGCUGAUGGAGGUCCAAGAGUCUCACCCAACAAACAACCUACAGAGUGAAGACCUCGAAUCUGAUUGGACGGCCUCCUAUUCAGCCACUUUAGGCUGUUAGAUUGUUCCAGAUAAGACAAGUACAAGAUUCUUCAGAGCCGUUCUACCACGAGCCUGACAGGAAGAACUCCAACAGCUACUGAAUGUUCCUGUGGUUCCCUCAAGGCUACAGGAGGAGUCCUACGAGGACGAGCCGGUCCACCUGAUGGCGGCCAGUCGCUGUGAUUCAAAGCCAACACCGACUAUGUGGACUUCUACUGGACCACACGGAGGCCUUCAAACCGGACCAACAAGUUCAGCGACUCCCCGACUCGUGGGUCUGAGGACGCCGCCGAGCCUCGGUCCAGCCGGCCUCCUGUCUGUGGGUGUUUGAGUGCUGAGAGGUUUGUGGAUGCAUGUGAACGUUCUGUGUUGAAACUGCAGCUUUGGACUCAGUAACACUGGGAAAAACCAAGAGCUCCUUUAUUUGUGACUUCCACUAAAAAAACUGAUGAAAAUAAGUUUGCCAGGGUUCUGACUGAUAACAGAUUAUUAAAUAAUGAAAAUAAUCCUUUAAAUAUUCCUUUAAACAAUCCUUUUAGGUCUACAUUUCCUUUACACUGACUUCUUGGUAAAUGUACAAGUAUUUUGUGUGGAAUAUACCAUUAAGCCCAAUGUUCAAGGGUUCUUCUGGGAAUAUACCAUUAAACCAACCUUUCAGGUAAAUGUUCCAAGAUGUUGGGUAGAAUAUACCAUCAGAUCAACCUUUUAGGUCUACAUUGGAAGAUUUUAGAGUAGAAUAUUACUCCAAACCAUCCUUUAAGUCUACAUUUAAGGUGGAAUACUCCUAUACACCAAGAUUUUUUGGUCUACAUUGAAGGAUUUUGGUUGGAAUAUUCCUUUGAACGAACUUUUUAAGUUUAUGUUCAAGGAUGUUGGGUGGAAUAUACCACCUGUGUUUGUGUUGCUCCUCGGCGACCCUAGACAGCCGGGUCCUAAUGUUUUUUGAGCAACACACCAUACUAUGACGUUUUUACAAUGAUGGUUCUACUAUGGAACCAGUUUGACAUGUUCAGGCGUUCUUUGUGUGAAAACUCAGAGAUUUCAGGUAUCAGAAGGUGGUUUUCAACUUUCUUUGUUAACUUUCUGCCUCAACUUUAAACUAAAUUUCCUUCACUAACCCCGCCCUGUGGACUUCCAGUAAGCUGUGUUCCUAUUGGCUGUCCAGGUGGCUGCUUGGUGUUAUCAGGAACACCUGAGCAGCUCAGUGUCUUCCUGCUUUGUUUAGUUGCAGACAAACAUUUCCUCUGCUUCUCUCCACCACAGAACUGGGUUUGGCUCCAUUGUUUUAGUUUGUUCUUUAGGCGUUGGUUUGCAGCUUCCAGCAGUGAAAUCAUCUUUAAUGUGUUUCUUGGUGUGUUUUAGGGCUUUGUACUGGAUAGUUGUCUUGGUAAAUGUGGUUCUUUAGCCACAGUUAGCACAUGGUGCUAAUGUGUGCAGUGAUUAGUGGAUUUGGUGCAGCUGAGUUGUGUCUUUAUCUUGGCUGUAGUGAGUCUUCAGAGGUUUUUGGUCAGACACAUUCUGUGUUCUUGUUUGUGAACCAACGUUGGUUGUCCAGAAGGUAAGAGUUCCUGUCCUGAUUCUCUGUUCUCAGAGGUUCUCUGGUAGGCUGCAGGAGACUUUAGUGUUUGGAUUGUGUUAGUUUGGUUUUUGUAUGGUUUCAUUUGGACGACUAUCUUGAGGCUCCUCCAUGUGGUUUAGUGAGGUUUUCUGUAACAGUUCUACAAAGUAACCUGCAGCAGAAGAGACUUUGAGAGUUUUUAGGAAGUUCUGGAGACCAGACUUUAGAGCAGCAGAAACAUUUGUCAGCAGUUUGAGAAGGUGAGCUUCAGAGUAGAAAUGAGACAGAAACCUUCUUGACCCGUGUGGUGAGGUCCUGUACCAAGAGUUUGAGCAGGUUGUGAAGAGUCUGUAGUUCUUUGGUCUGAAAGCACAAGAAGAGUCGACUCAUUAAAGGAGAAAACAGGAGAUAUUGAUGGUUCUUCUGUUGCUCUGCAGUUUCUUUAGACUGAAUAUCAAGUUUAUAUUUUAAAUGAUUUGCCAUGUGAGCCCAAGAAGACUUCAAUAAACUCCCUCCAUCCCCUGAACACAACACAUUUUAUGACGAUGUUAAAUCUUUUUUUAAAAAUAUGUUUUUUGUUUUAAUCAUAGUUUUAGCAUAGUUUUUUCUCUUUGCUUGUUUUGUCGUCUGUGUGAAAGGUGCUAAACAAAUAAAGCUGAAUUGAUAAACUGAAUAAUUGACUAACUGAUGAUUGUGACAACAGAAGUAUUUUCAUUGUGAUUUAAGGGUUUGUUUCACUUCUAAGGUUGAGGUUAAAGUCUUGACAGAAAAAAAAAUUAAAGAAAUAAACUACAUUUUAAAAAAGCAAUUGAAUCAAAGGAAAAAAGCAUUUAAUACAA